Molecule: ribosomal RNA, 119 nt
Filed under: Pteropus alecto (black flying fox)
Lineage: Eukaryota; Metazoa; Chordata; Mammalia; Chiroptera; Pteropodidae
Source: RNAcentral
GUCUAUGGCCAUGCUAUUCUGAACAAGCCUGAUCCCGUCUGAUCUAGGAAGCUAAGCAGAAUCAGGCCUGGUUAGUACUUGGAUGGGAGACCACCUAGGAAGACCAGGUGCUGUGGGUG